CAAACGACUCUCGGCA
This 16-nucleotide ribosomal RNA is filed under the name Sanicula maritima. RNAcentral's name for it is "partial 5.8S ribosomal RNA". The record is from RNAcentral. Lineage: Eukaryota; Viridiplantae; Streptophyta; Magnoliopsida; Apiales; Apiaceae.